UUGGAGGGCAAGUCUGGUGCCAGCAGCCGCGGUAAUUCCAGCUCCAAUAGCGUAUAUUAAAGUUGUUGCAGUUAAAAAGCUCGUAGUUGAAUUUCGGGAUUGACACAUCGGUCGUGCCUUAAGGGGUAUGAACUGGUGUAGUCAAUUUCUCACCUUCUGGAGAACCACGAUGCCCUUAAUUGGGUGUCGCGGGGAACCAGGACCUUUACUUUGAAAAAAUUAGAGUGUUUAAAGCAGGCAUUUUGCUUGAAUACAUUAGCAUGGAAUAAUAAAAUAGGACGGCAUGAUUCUAUUUUGUUGGUUUCUAGGAUCACCGUAAUGAUUAAUAGGGAUAGUAGGGGGCAUUAGUAUUCAAUUGUCAGAGGUGAAAUUCUUGGAUUUAUUGAAGACUAACUACUGCGAAAGCAUUUGCCAAGGAUGUUUUCAUUAAUCAAGAACGAAAGUUAGGGGAUCGAAGACGAUCAGAUACCGUCGUAGUCUUAACCAUAAACUAUGCCGACUAGGAAUAAGACGAUGUUAAUUUUUUAAUGACUCGUUUGGCACCUUACGGGAAACAAAGUGUNUGGGU
RNAcentral lists this ribosomal RNA (568 nucleotides) under Entrophospora lamellosa. RNAcentral describes it as "SSU rRNA". It matches the Rfam family "Eukaryotic small subunit ribosomal RNA", at positions 548 to 1112 of the family's 1831-position model. The record is from RNAcentral. Lineage: Eukaryota; Fungi; Glomeromycota; Glomeromycetes; Entrophosporales; Entrophosporaceae.